Molecule: long non-coding RNA, 1717 nt
Organism: Cornus florida
Lineage: Eukaryota; Viridiplantae; Streptophyta; Magnoliopsida; Cornales; Cornaceae
Exons: 6
Source: RefSeq, a predicted model, not a curated record
AAACAUGUUGCUGGAACUUUCCCAAUUGAUCUGAUUUUAUUUGCCUUCUCUCUCACCUUAAGCUCCUCGUCUCUUUGAUUUUUCUCUGCCUGAGUUCUUGCUCCUCCGGCAAUCUGAUCAACCCUUUCCAUUUCACUGCGAUUGUUUGGUGGAUGGAAUAUCAGGUUUUGGAGCUGAACUUCCCGGUCCUGUACCGGCAUUGCUGCUACGUUGCUCUGCCAAAGUUGGAGUCCUUUUGAUAGAUGGGGCAGGACCAGCAAGCUUUUCGGGCUUCUUUGCAUUUGUGUCAUCACUUAUUGGUGCCCUCUUGUCUGAGAGGUACCAGGGCCCUCGCUCGCCUUUUUUUGAUCCCGGAUGCUUGAUUCUUCAAGUGAUGUGAUGGCAAAUGCAGCUGCUGCAACUGCUGUUGGGAAAUCAUCAUCAUCGCCAAAAUCAUCACUCUGACUCAUUAGCGCUGAAAAUUGUCUCCGGAACCAGUUUUGCGAUUUUUUCUUCUCUGCAAAAUCAUCAGGAACGAUUCGUUGCAUAUUUGAAGGAGAAGUGUUGGAAGACGGAAAAUUCGUUGAGAUUGGUGAAAGGGUGUGGAUAGGGUAGGAGGGUGAAGCAAAGGUUUCUUCACUCGAAAGUUUAUAGAAAGUGGAGUAGAAUCUCUUUCUUGUGCUGAGCUUUUCUGCUGUUUGAAAUAUGGAUACAACUCUUUUCCUUCGAGAAUCUGUUAUGUUUUCGGUGAAGAACACUAGCCCGUGAUGUCCGGAGUAAAAAGAGUUCAUGUUUUUUUCUUUGGAUGAGAUGCUUUUUGUUGGAUCGCAUAGGUUGGUCAACUUCUUCAAUCUUGUUCACCUGUACUAUCUCUAUUUCUGUCUACCAACUUUUUGAUUUAAAUAUUCAACCAAAAAAAAAAACUUUUCGAUUUAAAUUUUUAAUAUUAAUAAUUAAUCUAUCAAUCUUGUUCACUUGCACUACCUCUAUUUGUGACGACUUUUCAAUUUAACUUUUUAAUAUUAAUAAUUAGUCACAUAUUUAUUUUGUGUUAAUAUUCUUAUCUAUGCAUAAAUAUUACAUACACACAAAUAGAUAGAGUGAACAAAAAAUAGUUGGAAUUGUAGAAAUGGUAGAAAUCGAACUGUCACUUUAAUUCGGUUUUGAUUUCGGUUCCAAAAUAAGAAACCUUUGUUUACGGUUUUGGUUUUGGUUUUGGUUUCGAUUUCAAAUCCAUUAAACCAAACCGAGCCGUAAACUAAAGAUACACACACAUAUAUAUGUUAAGAUAAUAAUAAACAAUAAUAUAACUUAUGUAGAUAAAACUUCAGACAAAGUACACAAUAAUAUAUUAUUUGCCCUAUUUGUUGAAGAAAGAAACUUAUAUUUACUUUGAUAAGAUAAAUUUAUGUGGUUUGAAGUGAGUUAUUGAGUCUUUUUUUGAAGGUAAAAAAUAAAAGUAGAAAAAGCAACUAUGGUUCAGAAUCGAACCAAACCGGUCUUUAUGAUUCAGUUUGGUUCGAUUCCAAAGUUCAACAUUUCGAUUUUGGUUCUAAAUUUUUAACAACUAUUGAAAUUAAUUUGGUUAUAACUAUAUUGAAUCAAACCGUGUGUACCUCACAAAUAGAUAUGUUAUAUAAAUUCAAGAUACGUUAUUGCCUCUAUAAUCUCCAUUAACUGGACUCUUGUACUCAUUUCUAAUUUAUACAAUUAUUAUAUUGAAUUCCCGAAAAAAGAA